AGAAACAACGGCUUGCGGUACUGGUGCAACAGUUUUAAAGAGGAAAUAGAAAUUCUACGAAUUGAUGAAGUUCAUUGAGCCAAAUGAACAAUAUGAAAAGUUGAACUUGGAGCAGGAAUCUCCAUCAAUAAAAAAGUAUACCAGGGGAUAUGCGAGUUAGAUCAUGUAAGAAAAUUCACGAAGAGUUUGGCAGUUGCGAUUUGGGGGAGUGACGUCCUUGCUGGGAGGUCUGUUUAGGGGAAAGCCUGCCGAAACAGGAAUGGACCCAAGAAAGUGGAUCCGGAGUCUAUACCUUCCACCCCUACACAUUCCAACCAGCAACAGGCAAAGCCUCCCCUCACACCAGAAAAAUUGGCUGUAAUUUCAGGACGAAUGAGAGAAUAUCUCGUAAAAAGAAAAAGAGACUGUUCAGAAAUGGAAGAAGAAUUUUAAAAAAAAAAAGAUAUCUGUCCGAUAAAAUCCAAGACAUAUGUGGUAGACAAAUUUUCCAAUAAAAUGUACUUUGCCCAUAUUGUUUGUAAUUGGUUACUUUUUAUAGUUAUUAUGGAGAAGACAAAAGGCUGAAACAGAUAAUAGAUGGCAAUCUUAUAUUUGCCAAACAAUUGAGAAAUGUCAGUUAAAAUUUAGUUUUGUAAUAUUGUGUUGCAUAAUUAUGUCAAUGAAGGAAGGAAUACAAUUAAAAUUAACAAUGGUGUAAUUUUAUUUUAAUUCAUUAUAUUUAG
Long non-coding RNA from Uloborus diversus, 722 nucleotides. RefSeq lists it as uncharacterized. The transcript is spliced from 3 exons. The record is from RefSeq and is a predicted model, not a curated record. NCBI's taxonomy places the organism in Eukaryota, Metazoa, Arthropoda, Arachnida, Araneae, Uloboridae.